AUAUGAGCGGGCAGGAAGCGCCGGGGAGGGAGCGAGGGGAGGGCGCCCGGAGCCGCUCGGCGGGCAGGGCCGGCAGACAGACAGACACACGGACAGACAGACACACACACAGACAGCUCGGCAGCAGCCACAGCAGCGACAGCAGCCACAGCAGCGACCGUCCGUCCCCACGGCCAUGGGGCUCGGCCGGCUCCCCGCACCCCGCCGGAGAGGAAGAUUUGUGCCCUGUGUACGAGAUGACCAAACCUCUGAGCAGAGAGGAGUUGAAUUAUUUCAGGAAACCUGUUAACCUCAUCAAGCUACAUCUGUUUCUCUGGGCCAGUCCCACAGCUCCUUCUGCCAAGUAAUUGCAAGGUAUUUUGGAAUGCAAGAGACACAAAGAGACAAAGUGGUUGAAACCUGCACCUGGGGACAAAUGUUGGAGGUGUAGCUGUCUGUCUCUGAGGACAUCAUCUCAAUAGAACUCCUUUUUGUUUGUUUUUUCUUUUCCAUCUCUUUGGGAAGUCCUUUGUCCCAGCAGGUUUUCAGUUCAGGCUCAGCUUUCCAUCCCAAGAGAUUUGAGGGAGGGCAAAGGAGGAAUGGGUGACAGGUUAGAGCCCACAGGAUUCAAGAACAAUGUUCCCCACCUUGCUGGUGCCUGACAGAGGACUGCUGCUGGCAUGGAGGUGACCACACAUACUCUUGGUAUCCCCAAAACUCCUGCCGUGGACUCCUUAUGCAUCCCUUGGGAGGGUGGUUCUACAGAGUAGAAACUGGCACAGUGACACUGAGGUAUUAAAUCUGAUGCAUUUAGAAUGUCUCUGGACUAAAUAAUUGCACUGACAUUUUCCAGGAUUCGUGGAGUUUUGGAUUUUUUUUGUUUGUUUUUAGAGCUUUGGUACACCAAUACAAAACAAAGGUUUUUCCUUUUAAAGGACACUACAUUAUUUCUAGAGGCUGGAUCUUCAAUCAAUGACUUAAUCUUACUUAUCUGAAAUACUUUGUCUGCUGACACAUCACAGUGCUGUACUAGCUUGAAAAAGAAAUCUAAUUCUAUCAAAUCUGCCAGCUCAGUUAAUAUGACUGCCAGGGAAGCAUAAGGCAUCACCUCCAGUUCUUUUAGGAAGGUAUCAGAUUCCCGCUGCCAGCUCAAAUUCAAAGCACAGUACACGUGGCCAGGCUUGGAUUUUAAAAAUAUUUUCCAAGGUACUUCUUGCAUCUUGGCAUGCAGAACUACAGAUCAAAUUGGACAAUAUCAUCUGAAUAUUUGGGUUGAAACACAGAAGUUUGAGUCCUACAGACAGUCCUUUGGGAUUAGUCUUGAAGCAGAGACCUGUGUUACUUUACCCUGAGACUUCUGCAAACCCA
This 1347-nucleotide long non-coding RNA is filed under the name Cyanistes caeruleus (blue tit). RNAcentral describes it as "lncRNA (ENSCCEG00000012554.1)". The record is from RNAcentral. Lineage: Eukaryota; Metazoa; Chordata; Aves; Passeriformes; Paridae.